This 1752-nucleotide ribosomal RNA is filed under the name Fusarium acaciae-mearnsii. RNAcentral's name for it is "12S ribosomal RNA". It matches the Rfam family "Bacterial small subunit ribosomal RNA". Lineage: Eukaryota; Fungi; Ascomycota; Sordariomycetes; Hypocreales; Nectriaceae. The record is from RNAcentral.
UAAAAGUUGAGUUUGGUGAUGGCUCUGAUUGAAUGCUGUCCAAGUGCUUGACACAUGCUAAUCGUACGUUUUAAUUGAUAAAUUAAAAAGUGGUGUACAGGUGCGUAUAAUGAUAUUCUUCGCCGGCCUUAAAGUGGAGGUAAAUCCUUCAUAAUAAAUAAAGGAAAGAUAUAAUAAAAAAAAAAUUAGGGUAUAGACAAGGACAAGUGUUGAGGGGGGAAAACCCUCAGCAAGUUGACUCCCUUAUAUAUUUUUUUUUUGCUCUUUUUUUUCUGCUUUAAGAGGAUAAUAAAUAUCUUCGAGAUAGGUAGUAGUUAAGGUGAUGACUUAACUAGCCUUAAACUCUCGUAGUCGAAUCUGAAAGGUUGAUCGACCACAUUGGGUCUGAAAAAACCCCAAUGCAAGUUAGUACAGCAGUGAGGAAUCUUGGUCAAUGGCCUAACGGCUGAACUGGCAACUUGGAGAAGUGGCAAGUCUUCCAGUAUGGGGAGCAAACAGCUAUGGGUCAAGCCCGAUACCUUUAAGAGAAGUCUUAUUGUGAGGGCGAGUUGUAUAACACCAUAGGGCUGGCCGUCCCAUAUGAAAAGAUUUUAUUAGAAUUGAAUGAAACUUUGUUUAUAUAUUGAUAAUGACAGUAUAUAUAUCGUGUCUUGACUAAUUGCGUGCCAGCAGUCGCGGUAAUACGUAAGAGACUAGUGUUAUUCAUCUUAAUUAGGUUUAAAGGGUACCCAGACGGUCUAUAUAGCUUAUAAAAUGUUAGUAUAAGACUAGAGUUUUAUGUAAGAGGGCAGUACUUGAGGAGGAGAGAUGAAAUUUCGUGAUACCAAAGGGACUCUGUAAAGGCGAAGGCAGCCCUCUAUGUAAAAACUGACGUUGAAGGACGAAGGCACAGAGAACAAACAGGAUUAGAUACCCAAGUAGUCUUUGCAGUAAAUGAUGAAUGCCAUAGGUUAGAUCUAUAUUUCUAUUAUAAUAAUACAUUUCUAUUAUUUAUUCUAAAACGCAUUCCUUAUAUAGCUUCGCGCUAUAAUAUAUUUUAUAUAUAGUGCAGCAGAAAUUAGAAAUUUUUGUAUCUGGUCUAUAAAUGAAAGUGUAAGCAUUUCACCUCAAGAGUAAUGUGGCAACGCAGGAACUGAAAUCACUAGACCGUUUCUGACACCAGUAGUGAAGUAUGUUGUUUAAUUCGAUGAUCCACGAAAAACCUUACCACAAUUUGAAUAAUUUUAUUACAGGAGUUGCACGGCUGUUUCCAGUUAAUGUUGUGAAACUGUGGUUUCCAUGAAAUUAACGUAAUCCCUGGCUUUAUUUUUUUUAUUUACGAUAAAGCAUUCAGUCCUGGAAAUUUGGAAAGAAAAAGGGGACAAAGACAAGUCAUCAUGGCCUUGAUAUUGUGGGCUAUAGACGUGCCACAUAUACCUAAACAAAGAGAUGCGAAAAUGUGAAUUUAAGCUAAUCUCAAAAAAUAGGAUAUAAAUUUUAAGGAUUGUAGUCUGAAAUUCGACUAUAUGAAUAAGUAAUUACUAGUAAUCGUGAAUCACCAUGUCACGGUGAAUAGACCUUGGAUUGGUACUAACCACUCGUCACAUGCUGAAAGGGGCAUGCGCAAUAAGUUUGCUUUCUUAGUAACAAGUAAAAAAAACAAAUAGGUUUUAUAUAUUCUUUUAUUGGGAAUCUUCGUAUGCGUGGCUCUAAUUAGUGUUAAGUCGAAAUACGGUUCGGGUAGUGGAAGUUGCCCGGGAUUAAUUAAUAUUA